Molecule: ribosomal RNA, 253 nt
Filed under: uncultured bacterium
Lineage: Bacteria
Description: partial 16S ribosomal RNA
Rfam family: Bacterial small subunit ribosomal RNA
Source: RNAcentral
UACAUAGGGGGCAAGCGUUGUCCGGAUUUAUUGGGCGUAAAGAGCUCGUAGGCGGUUUGUUGCGUCGGCUGUGAAAUCCCGAGGCUCAACCUCGGGUCUGCAGUCGAUACGAGCAAACUAGAGUGUUGCAGGGGAGACUGGAAUUCCUGGUGUAGCGGUGAAAUGCGCAGAUAUCAGGAGGAACACCGGUGGCGAAGGCGGGUCUCUGGGCAACAACUGACGCUGAGGAGCGAAAGCGUGGGGAGCGAACAGG